Molecule: long non-coding RNA, 1580 nt
Filed under: Pan troglodytes (chimpanzee)
Lineage: Eukaryota; Metazoa; Chordata; Mammalia; Primates; Hominidae
Description: long non-coding RNA NONPTRT008966
Source: RNAcentral
UGGACACUGUGGGGGAAGCUAUACCCUAAGGAAGUCAGAGCAGCAAGAUGGAAGUAGCCUAAGACCCUGAAAAAUGCACAGAGAAGAAUCACCCGACUGGCUUGAACUUUCAUGUGAAAGGAAUGAACCUCUGUCUUAGUAAAGCCACCGUUGAUUCAGGGUCCUUGUCACAUUCACUGAGGCUGUAACAUAAUUGUUAGAAAGAACAGGAGCGGGAGAGGGGAUGCAGUCGGAGAGGCAGGCAGAGGUCAGAUCACAUCAGGCCUGUAGGCCAAGGCGGAGGAAGAAACAGGCAACAUAGGACUCAAGGACCACACCUGCUCCCAGGCGAAGGGAGUUUGCUGUGGGUGCCCCUCUCUGUCUGUGUGUCCAGUGUGUGGAUAUUCUUUAUACCUUGCCCAUAUUGUACAAAUACAUUUUUCUAUUCAAUAUUUAGAAGACAUCGCAUUAAAUAGCAAGAUGGCAGAUGAACAUCAGGAAGGAACAUUAGGAACAUCCACAGUGUUCCAUCCAGGAACCUUCACCGUGGAAACCCUUGUGCUCAUAGGCGUGGUCUCAAGACAAAGGCAGCUGUUGGGGAUCAGCGGCCACACUCAUCGUAGCAGAAAGGCAGGACCAACUGGGAGAGGGUCCUUCUGUGACACCUACUGCAUCACCGGGCUGUGUGAAGUGACUCAGCUGCCAGAACUCACACAAUAUCAUUCUGCACCAAAACCUCAUGGGAAAAAUGCUCCACGACCCUCAGGCUUAAACAGCAGUACUGGCCGCUCCCCAGAUCUCCAGCUCCCUGACCCUUAAACUCCAACUGCAGCACCAGCUCCGCCCCGGGUCUCCAGCUCCACAAUCCUCAAACUACAACAGCAGCACCAGCUCCCCUGUGGAUCUCCAGCUCAAUGACUCUCAGACUUGGGAGGCGGCACCGGCUCCCCACCAAGCCUCCAGCUCCACAACCCUCAAACUAGAAAGCAGCACUGGCUAUUCCCUGGGUCUCCAGUUCCCUCAAACUUCAGCUAUAGCACUGGGUCUUCCCCGAGCCACCAGCUCCACAACCCUCAACUUACACAGUGGUAGCACCAGCUCCUCCCUAGGUCUCCAGCUACACUACUGUCAAACUUGAACUGCAACACCAGCUUCUCUUCGGCCUCCAGCUCCACAAUCCUCCAACAACAACAGCAACACUGGCUCCUCCCUGAAUCUCCAGCUCAACAACCCUCAGUCUUGAGAGGUAGCACGGACAUCUUCCCCAAGGCUCCAGCUCCGUGACCCUCAGAUUUGAACAGCGGUAGCACCAGCUCCUGUCCAGGUCUCCAGCUUCACGAUCCUUAAAGUAGAACAGCAGCACCGCCGCCUCCUUGGGUUUCCAGCUCCAUGACCCUAAGACAUGAAUGAAAGUACUGGGUCACCCCAGGGCUCCAACUCCAAGACCCACAGAUUUGAACGGCAGCACCGGCUCUUCCUGGGAUCUGCAGCUCCACAGCCUUCAAACUAGAUCAGCAGCACCGGCUCCUCCCUGGGUCUCCAGCUACACAAUCCUCAGACAUGAACAAUAGCACCGGCUCCUCCUUGGGUCUCCAGCUUCA